GGAUGUGAGGGCGACCUGGCUGCGACAUCUGUCACCCCAUUGAUCGCCAGGGUUGAUUUGGCUAAUCUGGCUGGUUAGGCGGGUGUCCCCUUCCUCCCUCAACGCUCCAUGUGCGUCCCUCCCGAAGCUGCACGCUCGGUCGAAGAGAACAACCACCCCGAUAGAGGAGGACCGUUCCUGGGUCAAGGGUAUACGAUUAGCUGCGCUCCCCUGCUAGAACCUCCAAACAAGCUCUCAAGAUCAUGUGUGUAAUUUUUCCUACUGAAACAUUUCCUGUGUUGCUUAAAUGUCAUCAGUUCAGAGGUACACAAUCAAUUUAAUAAUUACUUUUGGGAAGUAAGAAGGAAACAUUUU
Molecule: small nuclear RNA, 354 nt
Filed under: Chinchilla lanigera (long-tailed chinchilla)
Lineage: Eukaryota; Metazoa; Chordata; Mammalia; Rodentia; Chinchillidae
Description: 7SK RNA (ENSCLAG00000022133.1)
Rfam family: 7SK RNA
About the family: 7SK was discovered as an abundant small nuclear RNA in the mid-70s but a possible function has only recently been suggested.
Source: RNAcentral